UUACAGUUGAACAACAAGACUGUAUGGCUCACAAGUCCAAAUUAGAAGCAGAUCUAGCUAGAAGAGCAGAACACUACUUUUCUGAGAACAUGCGGGUUAUUAAAGGUUUUAAGCAAGUGUGAUUAUUAUGGCGUUGUUGCUCAUAUAUUCUGUUUGAGGAGUCUGCCGACUUUGUAUAAAAAGGAUAACUGCAGACACCGUGCAAUCAGACGAGGCUUCAUCAUCUAUGCAAAGUAACAAAAGUUAGAAAAGAGAUGGAAGGUGCUCGGUAGAGUAUGAAGUUUUGCGAGAAGUAUAGGGCGGAUGUUAGAAAAUGGAUUUAUGGAUUGAUUGAAUGUUGGGGAUUGUUU
Molecule: long non-coding RNA, 350 nt
Organism: Cynara cardunculus var. scolymus (artichoke)
Lineage: Eukaryota; Viridiplantae; Streptophyta; Magnoliopsida; Asterales; Asteraceae
Exons: 4
Source: RefSeq, a predicted model, not a curated record